Molecule: long non-coding RNA, 1124 nt
Filed under: Homo sapiens (human)
Lineage: Eukaryota; Metazoa; Chordata; Mammalia; Primates; Hominidae
Description: HSALNT0238110
Source: RNAcentral
AACUCCUUGCCCCCGGGCAAUAUUCCUGCCUCAGCCUCCCAAAGUGUUGGGUUUACAGGUAUGAUCCACUGUGCCCAUCCUGGAUGCAGACUUUAAGCAGAGUCACAUCAACAAGAAGAGCUGUGAAGGUCAGGGCAUGACCCACAGAUGCCCAAACACUGCACUGGAGGUCCAGGAAGAUUCUGCUGACAACGCAACCCUGAGCCAAGAUCUGAAGGAUAAGAGGGAGCUUAUAACAUGGAAGAAGGAACAGUAUUCCUGGCAAGUGGAACAGCAUGUGCAAAGAUCCAGAAAGCCCAGGACAUAACAGAGCCGCAGUGCCUGCCCUGAUCCACGCGCACACAGAUCUAGCCCAGGAACAAGCCCAUCCACGGAGUGAGCAGCUGACAGGGGAGCCACGAACAGCCUGGAGAGCUGAGCAUGGGCCUGCUCCACACUCCAGCGGGGCCCGAGGCCCCCGGGAACUCUACCCCUCCUGGCAGCCUCACAGAACCUGCUGCAUCCAUCUCAAAAGGCAUACCUCCUCCAGGAAGCCUUCCCCGCUGCUCAGAGGUCUUAAAUCCGGGGUCUGCACUCACAAACUGUGCAGCCUACACCAGCUUCUGGGGGACAGCAGAACACUGUGGGGGGCCUGGCACAGUCCCUGGCACACGGUAGGCACUCAUCGAGCCCCUGCCAGCCCCUCUACUCCUGACUUCUGAGGCAACAGGAAAUGACCCGCCACCUUGUUCUCACAGAGCCUCCCUGCCAGCCCAGAUGGUCACAAGGGCCUCCUGGGAUGCUGCCCACCUUGGCAGCCAGGCCCCUCCGGAGGGGCCAGUCUGGGCCUGACACCCCCGAACACCAACCCCCUGGGCAGAGCCUGCCUGUGCCUGGGUGAGGAACCCUGCAGUCUCCUUGCCACACAAGGCCUGGGUCUGCCUUGGGGCCCAGGCUGCACCCUCUCCGACCCCCAGGCCCAAUGUCUGACCUGUGCCCACCUGACUCAACCUGGCUACUGUUCAGCAAGUUUACAAAGUGUUCUCAGUCUGAACAGGAACCGUUUUCAAUCCUUUAUUUCAGAAAGGAGAGCCAGGAGAACUGGGGACUUAGAAAAUACAGAUCCUAAACUCAAAAGUCCCUGC